UGGGGAAUAUUGCACAAUGGGGGAAACCCUGAUGCAGCGACGCCGCGUGAGGGAAGACGGUUUUCGGAUUGUAAACCUCUGUCUUGUGGGACGAUAGUGACGGUACCACAGGAGGAAGCCAUGGCUAACUACGUGCCAGCAGCCGCGGUAAUACGUAGAUGGCGAGCGUUGUCCGGAAUUACUGGGUGUAAAGGGAGUGUAGGCGGGCUGGUAAGUUGAAUGUGAAACCUUCGGGCUCAACCCGGAGCGUGCGUUCAAAACUGCUGGUCUUGAGUGAAGUAGAGGCAGGCGGAAUUCCCGGUGUAGCGGUGGAAUGCGUAGAUAUCGGGAGGAACACCAGUGGCGAAGGCGGCCUGCUGGGCUUUUACUGACGCUGAGGCUCGAAAGCAUGGGUAGCAAACAGG
This 404-nucleotide ribosomal RNA is filed under the name uncultured bacterium. Its description in RNAcentral is "bacterial SSU rRNA". It matches the Rfam family "Bacterial small subunit ribosomal RNA", at positions 355 to 776 of the family's 1533-position model. The record is from RNAcentral.